AACGAACGCUGGCGGCAUGCUUAACACAUGCAAGUCGAACGCGAAAGUUUUCUCUUGAGAAGACGAGUAGAGUGGCGCACGGGUGAGUAACGCGUAAAUAAUCUACCCCUGCAUCUGGGAUAACCCACCGAAAGGUGAGCUAAUACCGGAUAUGUUCUUUUAGCCGCGAGGUUUUAAGAAGAAAGGUGGCCUCUGAUAUAAGCUACUGUGCGGGGAGGAGUUUGCGUACCAUUAGCUAGUUGGUAGGGUAAUGGCCUACCAAGGCAUCGAUGGUUAGCGGGUCUGAGAGGAUGAUCCGCCACACUGGAACUGGAACACGGACCAGACUCCUACGGGAGGCAGCAGUGAGGAAUAUUGCGCAAUGGGGGCAACCCUGACGCAGCGACGCCGCGUGGAUGAUGAAGGCCUUCGGGUCGUAAAAUCCUGUCAGAUGGAAAGAAGUGUUAUAUGGAUAAUACCUGUAUAGCUUGACGGUACCAUCAAAGGAAGCACCGGCUAACUCCGUGCCAGCAGCCGCGGUAAUACGGAGGGUGCAAGCGUUGUUCGGAAUUACUGGGCGUAAAGCGCGCGUAGGUGGUCUGUUAUGUCAGAUAUGAAAGUCCACGGCUCAACCGUGGAAGUGCAUUUGAAACUGGCAGACUUGAGUACUGGAGGGGGUAGUGGAAUUCCCGGUGUAGAGGUGAAAUUCGUAGAUAUCGGGAGGAAUACCGGUGGCGAAGGCGACUACCUGGCCAGAUACUGACACUGAGGUGCGAAAGCGUGGGGAGCAAACAGGAUUAGAUACCCCUGGUAGUCCACGCCGUAAACGAUGUCAACUAAGGUGUUGGGAUGGUUAAUCGUCUCAUUGCCGGAGCUAACGCAUUAAGUUGACCGCCUGGGGAGUACGGUCGCAAGAUUAAAACUCAAAGGAAUUGACGG
RNAcentral lists this ribosomal RNA (918 nucleotides) under uncultured bacterium. RNAcentral describes it as "bacterial SSU rRNA". It matches the Rfam family "Bacterial small subunit ribosomal RNA", at positions 28 to 916 of the family's 1533-position model. The record is from RNAcentral.